UACGAAGGGUGCAAGCGUUACUCGGAAUUACUGGGCGUAAAGCGUGCGUAGGUGGUUCGUUAAGUCUGAUGUGAAAGCCCUGGGCUCAACCUGGGAAUGGCAUUGGAUACUGGCGACCUAGAGUGCGGUAGAGGGGUGUGGAAUUCCCGGUGUAGCAGUGAAAUGCGUAGAUAUCGGGAGGAACACCGGUGGCGAAGGCGGCUUCCUGGACCGACACUGACGCUGAGGCGCGAAAGCUAGGGGAGCAAACAGG
RNAcentral lists this ribosomal RNA (253 nucleotides) under uncultured bacterium. Its description in RNAcentral is "partial 16S ribosomal RNA". It matches the Rfam family "Bacterial small subunit ribosomal RNA", at positions 524 to 776 of the family's 1533-position model. The record is from RNAcentral.